AGAAAGUAAAUCAAGCUAGUAUAGAAACAUGCUAAAAAAAGAAAAAAUUCUAUAUUAACUUAUACAGAACCCUAGUUAAAAGGGUCACAAUACUUUGAAAGCAAGAAAAAACAAAUGGGGAAACUUCUAGAAACUUGCUCAGCAAGUUCAAACACAUAGAUCCAAGGCGGAUCUGAAAAAUAAAUUGAAAGAACCUUAUAUUUAGGGUUUCGAAUGACCCAGAAAAGGUGAGAAAGGAUUUGAAAACUCCAAAUCUAAGCAUGAGAGUCACAAAUUUGACCCGAAUGGCCAUGGUUGGCCGGAUAAAGGUUGAAGAUGACCAAAGAAAAACCAUCAAGUAAAGGCCUUCUUAAGAACCCUUCAAGAUCUGGUCAUAGGACCUCAGAGGUGAGCAUAUAGAGUCCAUGGGAGACCGAUAUGGGGCUUAGAUGAGUCUGAUGAGCCAUAGAUUAGGGUUUCAGGUGAGGCAGCGGCUAGGGUUUGAGAGAUGAGUUGAGAGAGAACGAGAGAGAUGCGGG
Molecule: long non-coding RNA, 518 nt
Filed under: Nicotiana benthamiana
Lineage: Eukaryota; Viridiplantae; Streptophyta; Magnoliopsida; Solanales; Solanaceae
Description: long non-coding RNA (NBEN_LNC036448)
Source: RNAcentral